Molecule: long non-coding RNA, 1556 nt
Organism: Pangasianodon hypophthalmus (striped catfish)
Lineage: Eukaryota; Metazoa; Chordata; Actinopteri; Siluriformes; Pangasiidae
Exons: 3
Source: RefSeq, a predicted model, not a curated record
AAAGACAGGUGAGGUUUGUUCAUCUCAUGCUUGUCUAAACAUCACAGUUUAACCGCAACCAAUGAGCUGCUAGAGAGAGCGAGAGAGCAGUUUUCCACUGACGUGGACCAAUCAGAUUAAAGAACACACAACCGCAUGAAAGAGCUUCAGCAGCACGAGCCGCUCAGCACCAGUGUCUGAGAUGGAGACAUCAAGAGUCGCUCUCAUCGCUCUCGUGUGUGUUGUGUUCUCCAGUCAGAAGAGGAUCUCUGGAGCAGAAGUGGAGAUGAGAGUCAGACGAGGAGACGACGUCACUCUCUACUGCGACUGUGUUUUUAAAAACGGAUUGAAUCCAGUGUGGUUUAGAAACUGCUCACAUCAAAAUCAACCUCGUUUCAUGAUCUCAAGUGAAGAUUUGAUGCAUGGUGCUUUUCCACGUUACUCAGUUGUGUUUAAUGACUCCAGCAACACACACAAUCUGCUGAUUAAGAACGUCACAGAAGCAGAUCAGGGCCUGUACUACUGCGCUCUACAUGAGACAAAUAUUUCAAAGGAUAAAAACGGCGUCAUCAUCGACAGGGACGUGUAUCAUUACGGAAACAGAUCCACUCGACUCUCUCUACUCGGUAAGAUUGUCUGAUAAUUCCUUCACUCACUUAUUGCUCAAGUUUUAUUGUCUUUGCUGAUAUUUUGAAAUAUUAUGUGUUUUCAUCAGAGAAGGUCUCUCCAUGCUUAACUCUCUCUCCAAGCACCCCGACCCCGAGUGUAUCAGAGCCGAGUGUUAGCUGGAAGCUGGUGUUCAGUGUGUGUGUGUGUGUGUGUGUGUGUGUGUGUGUUCCUCAGCAGAACCCUGUCGCAGUGUGUGUGAGCCGAGUGUAUCAGAGCCGUGUGUUAGCUGGAAGCUGGUGUUCAGUGUGUGUGUGUGUGUGUGUGUGUGUGUGUGUGUGUGUGUGUGUGUGUGUGUGUGUGUGUGUGUUCCUCAGCAGAACCCUGUCGCAGUGUGUGUGAGCCGAGUGUAUCAGAGCCGAGUGUUAGCUGGAAGCUGGUGUUCAGUGUGUGUGUUGUGUGUGUUCUCCUCUCCUCACUCCUCUCCUCUGUGUGUACUGCCUCUGCACAAACACCACUAAAGCAAAAGCCAAAGCUGAUCUGGCAGGAAGUGACAAAAGGACGACUCGGAGAUGUGAUGAGGUUGGAGAAGAUGAGGUCUGUUACGCCGCUUUGGACAUCCAGAACAUUGAGAAGAAGAAGACGAAGAGGAAGAAGAAGAGAGUUCAGCACUCUGAUUUCAGCACAUAUUCAGAGGUCAGAACUGAGAGAACUGAGGGAUGCUGAGGAGGCGUUAAUGAAAUGUGUAUUACAUCACAGUGUAUGAUUUUGAUAAACUGUUUUUACAUCCUUAAUGACAUUAAUCAUCCAGAGUGAAAUGAAGUUUAAGUGCUUACUGUCGUAUUCUUGCUGAUGUGAAAAAUGUGUGAAUGGAAAAAAAAAGAAAAAAAAGGUUCAUGUCUGAAUAAUGUAUAACACAGAACCUGCAGUACGUCCAAAUAAAGUUACUGCUUGUGGGAUUUUACCUUCAA